UUUUAGCCCUGGUUGAAGCGGCAUCCCGCUCGUGAUAACGAGUGGAUAUAGCGGAAAACAGGAAACAAU
Molecule: small RNA, 69 nt
Filed under: Flavobacterium granuli
Lineage: Bacteria; Pseudomonadati; Bacteroidota; Flavobacteriia; Flavobacteriales; Flavobacteriaceae
Description: Flavo-1 RNA
Rfam family: Flavo-1 RNA
Source: RNAcentral